GACGAACGCUGGCGGCGUGCUUAACACAUGCAAGUCGAACGGAAAGGCCCUGCUUUUGUGGGGUGCUCGAGUGGCGAACGGGUGAGUAACACGUGAGUAACCUGCCCUUGACUUUGGGAUAACUUCAGGAAACUGGGGCUAAUACCGGAUAGGAGCUCCUGCUGCAUGGUGGGGGUUGGAAAGUUUCGGCGGUUGGGGAUGGACUCGCGGCUUAUCAGCUUGUUGGUGGGGUAGUGGCUUACCAAGGCUUUGACGGGUAGCCGGCCUGAGAGGGUGACCGGCCACAUUGGGACUGAGAUACGGCCCAGACUCCUACGGGAGGCAGCAGUGGGGAAUAUUGCACAAUGGGCGGAAGCCUGAUGCAGCAACGCCGCGUGCGGGAUGGCGGCCUUCGGGUUGUAAACCGCUUUCGCCUGUGACGAAGCGUGAGUGACGGUAAUGGGUAAAGAAGCACCGGCUAACUACGUGCCAGCAGCCGCGGUGAUACGUAGGGUGCGAGCGUUGUCCGGAUUUAUUGGGCGUAAAGGGCUCGUAGGUGGUUGAUCGCGUCGGAAGUGUAAUCUUGGGGCUUAACCCUGAGCGUGCUUUCGAUACGGGUUGACUUGAGGAAGGUAGGGGAGAAUGGAAUUCCUGGUGGAGCGGUGGAAUGCGCAGAUAUCAGGAGGAACACCAGUGGCGAAGGCGGUUCUCUGGGCCUUUCCUGACGCUGAGGAGCGAAAGCGUGGGGAGCGAACAGGCUUAGAUACCCUGGUAGUCCACGCUGUAAACGGUGGGUACUAGGUGUGGGGUCCAUUCCACGGGUUCCGUGCCGUAGCUAACGCUUUAAGUACCCCGCCUGGGGAGUACGGCCGCAAGGCUAAAACUCAAAGGAAUUGACGGGGCCCCGCACAAGCGGCGGAGCAUGCGGAUUAAUUCGAUGCAACGCGUAGAACCUUACCUGGGUUUGACAUGGAUCGGGAGCGCUCAGAGAUGGGUGUGCCUCUUUUGGGGUCGGUUCACAGGUGGUGCAUGGCUGUCGUCAGCUCGUGUCGUGAGAUGUUGGGUUAAGUCCCGCAGCGAGCGCAACCCUUGUUCACUGUUGCCAGCACGUUAUGGUGGGGACUCAGUGGAGACCGCCGGGGUCAACUCGGAGGAAGGUGGGGAUGACGUCAAGUCAUCAUGCCCCUUAUGUCCAGGCUUCACCCAUGCUACAAUGGCUGGUACAAAGAAUGCCAGCCCUGUAAGGUGAGCGAAUCUCGGAAAGCCGGCCUCAUUUCGGAUUGGGGCUGCCACUCAACCUCUGAAAUCGGAAUCCCUAUAAUCCCCAAAUACCAACCCUGGGGGGAAUACUUUCCCGGGGCU
Molecule: ribosomal RNA, 1341 nt
Filed under: uncultured bacterium
Lineage: Bacteria
Description: bacterial SSU rRNA
Rfam family: Bacterial small subunit ribosomal RNA
Source: RNAcentral